Molecule: ribosomal RNA, 19 nt
Filed under: uncultured Glomus
Lineage: Eukaryota; Fungi; Glomeromycota; Glomeromycetes; Glomerales; Glomeraceae
Description: partial 28S ribosomal RNA
Source: RNAcentral
AUUGACCUCAAUCAGGAGC